UGGGUGUGCAAGUGCAGCAAUGCAUUGAGCUAACCAGUACUAAUUGCCCGUGAGGCUUGACCC
RNAcentral lists this ribosomal RNA (63 nucleotides) under Lampropedia hyalina DSM 16112. RNAcentral's name for it is "23S rRNA. Bacterial LSU". The record is from RNAcentral. Lineage: Bacteria; Pseudomonadati; Pseudomonadota; Betaproteobacteria; Burkholderiales; Comamonadaceae.